GGCAGCUGGCUGCUUUCUGUUGGCAUGCAGUGUGGUGUUUGUUCUUUUGCUCUUUGCAAUAAAUCUUGUUGCUGCUCACUGUUUGGGUCUGCACUGCCUUUAUGAGCUGUAACACUUAUUGUGAAGGUCUGCAGGUUGACUCCUGAGGCCAGGGAGACCACGAACCCACCGGUAGGAAGAAACUCUGGACACAUCCGAACAUCAGAAGGAGCAAACUCCAGACACACCAUCUUUAAGAACUGCAACACUCACCGGAGGGUCCGCGGCUUCAUUGUUGAAGUCAGCGAGACCAAGAACCCACCAAUUCCAGAUGCAGUCUCACCUGUAUAUGGAAUUUAAUAAAGCCAGACUCAUGGAAGCAGAGAGUAGAGCAGAGGUUGCCAGAAGCUUGGAUUGGAGGAGAGAUUUGUGAUCUUACUUAGAUGAUGUGUGAGACAGUAAAUGAAAUGAGGAGCAUU
Molecule: long non-coding RNA, 458 nt
Filed under: Homo sapiens (human)
Lineage: Eukaryota; Metazoa; Chordata; Mammalia; Primates; Hominidae
Description: HSALNT0374340
Source: RNAcentral